This 497-nucleotide ribosomal RNA is filed under the name uncultured bacterium. RNAcentral describes it as "partial 16S ribosomal RNA". It matches the Rfam family "Bacterial small subunit ribosomal RNA", at positions 28 to 507 of the family's 1533-position model. The record is from RNAcentral.
GAUGAACGCUGGCGGCGUGCCUAAUACAUGCAAGUCGAGCGAACAGACGAGGAGCUUGCUCCUCUGACGUUAGCGGCGGACGGGUGAGUAACACGUGGAUAACCUACCUAUAAGACUGGGAUAACUUCGGGAAACCGGAGCUAAUACCGGAUAAUAUAUUGAACCGCAUGGUUCAAUAGUGAAAGACGGUUUUGCUGUCACUUAUAGAUGGAUCUGCGCCGCAUUAGCUAGUUGGUAAGGUAACGGCUUACCAAGGCAACGAUGCGUAGCCGACCUGAGAGGGUGAUCGGCCACACUGGAACUGAGACAGGGUCCAGACUCCUACGGGAGGCAGCAGUAGGGAAUCUUCCGCAAUGGGCGAAAGCCUGACGGAGCAACGCCGCGUGAGUGAUGAAGGUCUUCGGAUCGUAAAACUCUGUUAUUAGGGAAGAACAAAUGUGUAAGUAACUAUGCACGUCUUGACGGUACCUAAUCAGAAAGCCACGGCUAACUACGUG